GGGGAUUUAGCUCAGUGGUUCCGGCAUCUGCCUCAAAAGCGGAAGGUCCUGAGUUAGAUUCCCCA
Molecule: transfer RNA, 65 nt
Filed under: Heterocephalus glaber (naked mole-rat)
Lineage: Eukaryota; Metazoa; Chordata; Mammalia; Rodentia; Bathyergidae
Rfam family: tRNA
About the family: Transfer RNA (tRNA) molecules are approximately 80 nucleotides in length. Their secondary structure includes four short double-helical elements and three loops (D, anti-codon, and T loops).
Source: Rfam by way of RNAcentral